AAACACAUAAGUGCUUCUUUGCCA
RNAcentral lists this non-coding RNA (24 nucleotides) under Arabidopsis thaliana (thale cress). The record is from RNAcentral. Lineage: Eukaryota; Viridiplantae; Streptophyta; Magnoliopsida; Brassicales; Brassicaceae.